Papio anubis (olive baboon) is the source of this 148-nucleotide unclassified non-coding RNA. It matches the Rfam family "Metazoan signal recognition particle RNA". Rfam says of the family: The signal recognition particle (SRP) is a universally conserved ribonucleoprotein. Lineage: Eukaryota; Metazoa; Chordata; Mammalia; Primates; Cercopithecidae. The record is from Ensembl.
GCUGGGUGUGGUGGCGUGCACCUGUAAUCCUAGCUACUCAGGAGGCUGAGGUGGGAGGAUCGCUUGAACCCGGGAGGCUGAGGUUGCAAUGAGCCAAGAUCGCGUCAUUGCACUCUAGCCUGGGCAAUAUGGUGAAACCCCCAUCUCU